UAUUUUUGUAGCUGGCAGCCCGACCCCGAGACGUUUCGCAGCAGUUGAAUGUUUUUGUGUAAUAAACUAUGAAGUUGUGCAGUUUGCGGGAGGGGGCUUGUUUUUAGAAACAAGGUCGUUCUUUGUGUCAAAAAGUAGAUAUCUCUGAACGAAUUAACAUUAACAAAUUGACUUAUUUCAAUGAAAGACUGAUUUGUGCUCGACUAAAAUAAACAGUGUGUAUAUGUCGUGUUUAAUUGUUCCUAUUUAGAACACACUGUCCGUUUCCAUCGCUCCAAUGAGUCUGGGAGGAGUUACAAACACUGAGGGAUCGAAUGCAGGCGGAAUAUUCGUUCAGUUUAAUCAAGAUUGCACGUCAUUGGUGGCGGGCAGCAGCACCGGAUAUCACUUAUUUGCUCUAACUCCUGAUGAUGGUAUCGAAGAAAUAUAUGCGAGUCGCAGCGGACAGGAGACUUGUCUCGUCGACCGUCUCUUCAGCAGCUCGCUGGUGGCUGUUGUCACAGUAUCCGCUCCCAGGAAGCUGAUAGUGUGCCACUACAAGAAGGGCACCGAGAUCUGCAACUACAUCUACAGCAACACCAUCCUCGCCGUCAAACUGAACCGCUCGAGGUUGAUCGUGUGCCUCGAGGAGUCGCUGCACAUCCACAACAUCCGGGACAUGAAGAUCCUGCACACGAUCCGCGACACGCCGCCCAACCCGCGCGGCCUGUGCGCGCUGUCGCCCUGCGUGGAGCACUGCUACGUGGCGUACCCCGGCUCCAGCGCGGUGGGCGAGGUGCAGAUCUUCGACGCGGUGCACCUCAACGCCAAGUGCGCCAUCAGCGCGCACGAGAGCCCCGUGGCGGCGCUGGCCUGGUCCUCCUGCGGGCGGCGCCUGGCCACCGCCUCGGAGCGCGGCACCGUCAUCCGCGUGUUCGCCGUGCCCGACCGCACGCGCCUGUUCGAGUUCCGACGCGGCGUCAAGCGCUGCGUCACCAUCGCCUGCCUCGCCUUCAGCAGCUGCGGCCUGUACCUCGCCGCCACCUCCAACACGGAGACCGUGCACGUGUUCAAGCUGCAGGAGGGCGGCGCGGGCGAGGAGGGCGGCGCGGGCGAGACGGCGGGCGCCGCGGCGGCGGGCGAGGCGGACACGUGGCUGGGCUGGCUGUCGGCCGCGGUGUCGGCGGGCGCGGGCUACCUGCCGGCGCACGUGGCCGACGUGCUGGCGCAGGGCCGCGCCUUCGCCGCCGCGCGCCUGCCCGCCACCGGCCACCGCGCCGUCGCCGCCGUCACGAGAGUGUCGCGCAGUCCGCGGCUGCUGGUGGCCACGUCGGCCGGGGUGCUGUACGUGUACGCGCUGGACGCGGCGGAGGGCGGCGAGUGCGCGCUGCUGCGGCAGCACCGCUUCCUGGCGCCGGAGGAGGCGCCGGGCUCCGCGGACCCGCAAGUGGCGACGGGCAACAGUUACGCGGGCGCGCUGCGCGGCCGGGACCCCGCCGCCAUGACAGGCGAGGGGGGCGCGGGGGGAGCGGGGAGCGCGGAGGAGCGGCGCGAGUGACCGCCGCCCGCACUCCGCGCGCACCGCUAUACGUACUCUACCGACUACCGACCAUUCCGGCUCCGGCGGCUGUGUAUCACGAGCGUGACGUCACCGUGUUGUCGCGAUUUAUUCUAGUUUGCUCAUUUUAAUGGACAUUUAUGUGAAUAUUGUGAUAAUAAUUUGUAAAAACCGAAUUUUAUUUUUUAAUAUAGUUUUUAAUUUUAAUCAUUACUUUUCUUUUUACUUUUACUUUACCCGCGCUUAUCCCUCGAUUGUGCUUCGGUAUUGUUACUAUAGAAAUAAUUUGUAGAAAUUAGCUUAGUAUUUAUAGUCAUUAGAAACAUGAUCAUCGGUCAUUAGCGAUUUCCGAAAGCAAAAGUUAAAUAUGAUUGAAUGAUCCUAGUCCCUCGCACCGGCUCCGCUCUGCUCUCCGCGAACAUCCCCGCGACCACCGAAACCUACACCAUCGCUUAACUUAACUUCUAAAAUUGAUUUUGUUUCGUUCGAACCUAAUCUUAAAAGCCAUUAUUUAGUUUCAAACAAAUGACCCUUUUACCUGUUACUUGACUAGAAAUAUAAUGGAAAUGAAUAUUUGUAUUCUUUUACAGACAAGUAGUAAGCAAAAAAAUAGAUCCUAAAGUAAUUAUUUGACUGUAAAUAAUCUGACACACGUGACAGUGGUCAUUAUUUAUUUGUAAUAUUUCUAGUGAAGUAAUCAGAAGUCCACACUAGAAUUUCGAGUGUAGUGUGGACGCGCGCGCCGGGCACGCUUCCGACAUCUUGGUCAUCAUCAUGUGUCUGAACGAAUCACAUUGGAUCUGCUUAACACCAAGCGAAUGUAUCAACGUGGUUGUACCUUCCAAACGAACAGUAAAACCGAUUAUAGACCCCCGUCCUGCGACACCCUCCGUUCGUGACGUCACUGGAGUGGAGUGUUCAAUGGAAAUUUGAAAAUGGUUUCUAUUGUUUACUAGUUGACCCGGCAGACUUCGUAGUGCCUCAAUCGAUAAAUAAAAGAUCUAAACUUUUGUAUAAAAUAAACUUAAAACAAACAAAAGGAAUCCGUCCGACGGGGGACACAUUAAUGGACAAAACAAUUUAUAUUAAUUAUAACAAUUUAUUUUUAUUUAAUUCCGAUCAUUUUCAUAUUUAUCUGCCUUUUAGACCUUCUCUGAACUUCCACAAAUAAAAUUAGCCAAAUCGGGCCAGCCGUUCUGGAGUUUUAGCGAGACUAACGAAGAGCAAUUCAUUUUUAUAUAUGAGUCGUCUAUUAUCAAAGGUGGCAAUCUGUGCAUUUGGAAAAAAAAAAAUUAUUGAUAUGUCAAUACAGAUUUAUUUGAAUAUAAUCGUCUCCUUCAAAGAAUACGGUUCAAAACCUGCAUUAAAUAAAGGUUAAUAGUUAACCUGUUAUUUAUCUAAGAUGUCGUUCCGAAGAGUUUUGUGACUGCCAAUGGAAUACAAAGUCAAUAAUUCGUUUUUCUGAUUUACCAAUCAUUGUCCAAAAGUCAGAUUGCCGCCUUUGAUAAUAGUCGACUCAUAUAUAGAUUUCAAACGCACCAAUAGAUCGAUUUCCCCUACUAUAAUAUAUAAACAACGAAUUAAAUUCAUUAGAAUUUUUUGAGAUAUUCUUUGAGACACAUCAUAAUAACCUAACCGCCGCCGCCGCUAACCUUCACAUUGAGCCGGCGCAGGGCGCGCGCGGACCCUCCGAUGUACGCACGCGUCUCUGCGAUUCUUUCUAAUUAACUGUUUGCAUUUGAAACACUUGUCGAUUGUUUUGCAUUAUUAAUUAAUCAUUAAUUUUACGAUGUCAUUCAAUCUUUAAACGUACAUCGGAGAUCCGCAACGCUGGACAAACUAUUUCAACGUGGACGUUCUUUUUUCAAGUCUCACAAUAAAAAUGUAACACGAAAGUGUUGAAGCCAAACAUUGAGUCCACGUUCUGCUGCUAUUGUUGUACGAUAUUGAUGAGUCUGGACGAGAGGAACGUUCACGUUAGUGAGUCGCAAGUCGGAGACGUGAGUGUGGUAGCGAGUUGUGAAGGUUGUGGGCCAGCUGCAGGUGUGUGUGCGUCAGAUUCAGAGCGCGGCCGGGAGCUGGGCGCCGCGCUCGAGCCCUCCCCGCCGCGGGGACCCUUCGACCUCCGCGACCCCGACCACUUCCCCCCCAUCGCCGUCAGGGCACCGCAGCACUAGGACCGCCGCGCCCGCCGGACAGAACUUUCAAUGUUUAGUUCAAUUCUACAAAACAUACACCUACAUCAAACUUUAUGUAAUUAAUAUAGAUAUCUAAAAGAUUGUUUGUGUCAGAAAUAUUGACCAGAACUUGGACCCGUGGGACGGGGCCCGACGUGGCCCGCCGCGAGCCGCUAGUGUAAGUUGUCGUCCGACUGUCUUGUCCCUUAGAUAAGUCGUUUUUACAAUUUUAUCACUAUCUCGAUUAUAUUAUUGUAGACAAAUUUUACAAAUUUCAUAUAAAUUAAAUUCAAAUUGUAUUUACUUUGAUAUUAUAUACUAAAAGCAUGUGACAUUACUAAAUUUAGGAAUAAAAACAAAACAAAAAAUAAUAAAUAUUUCAAUAAUUCUAUAUUAAAUCCGGACAGACAGAUGAGACGACGUUAGUGUAAUUAUUGUAAUAUAUUUAGUUAAAUUGACCCUGUCUCUUUGUUCUAUGACUUUAUAGUGCAGCUUACAAUUAUAAGAUCUGAAAUAAUAAAAUAAAAAUGUAAAAGGAAAUGCAAAUAAAUAAUAAACAAGAUAAAAGUUUAUUUAUGAAGAAGCGCGCGGGGCGUGCCGCGGGGCGCGGGGUGCGGGGCGCACUCUUGCACGUGGCUGCGGCAGCUGGGCGGCCGCUAGAGGCUGCUAGUGACUGCACAGUGCACAGUGCACGCUGACCACAGAUAAUAAUACACUUAAUGUGACGAGCGGCGACGAGAACCCGUCCGAAGCGCGCAGCGUUGGAAUACAAUUUAAAAAAUAACAACAAAACUACAAACCGUAGACGCGACUCGAUGCUCACUAACGUGCAUCUAGACAUUUCUGUAAUUUCAAAGGCAAAAAACUUGUAUAAACAAAUUGUAAAUUUUUAUUAUAAUUUAUUGUAUAUUAGUGGGACUUCGUAAAAUAAUUUAAAAAAAAACUAUCAGAGGGACCGCCCUCGCGACCUCCGUGUCAAUAUAAAUAUCGUGAAGUUCGGAUUAUAAUAAAGUGAGUAAUUAUAUAAGUGACUGUAUCUCCACAUCGGCGUUUGUAUAUAAUUAGAGGUGUCAUCUGAAGCCACGAGCGGCUGUAAUAUUUAAAUAACAAUUAGUCUAGCGGUUAGCGAGAUAUACAAUCGUCAAAUUAAAUACAUGGCAACACUUCUUCCUCUGUCUCACUGUAACAUAUGUUGCCUAUUUCGAAACCAAACAGUGGCUAUAGCUAAAAUAUAAAGAACUUAAUAUACGUAGGUACAAAUUCUAGUAUUUAUUUUAGUUCCGUGUGUGCUCCUUAAGGUGCGUGUGUCUAUAGCUUUUAACGCUCCGCUGCGACUUGCUCAGAGAUGUAACAGGCUCCGACCGGACAAAGGAGACAAACUUUACAUCACCCGCAGUCUACCUCCGCGCGCCUGCUCCUACUGCUACCUUCAAUUUAUAAAUUGUACAGAAUACUCUGGUGUAUUAUUUUUACUUUGUCAUCGUAGAAUUUGUUCCGUAAUCGCAAUCUAGUUGUAUGUCUACCACUAAAAAUGUUUCACUAUAAUUAAAGAGAAGUUAAAAGUUAUGGAGACGCGCACGCUGGCUGGUCUUCUAGUUUAAAUUAAAUUGUAAAUAAAAAUGAAUAAAGUUUUCUACGAAACUGCAA
Molecule: long non-coding RNA, 5361 nt
Organism: Bombyx mori (domestic silkworm)
Lineage: Eukaryota; Metazoa; Arthropoda; Insecta; Lepidoptera; Bombycidae
Gene: Atg18a
Product: WD repeat domain phosphoinositide-interacting protein 2
Exons: 7
Source: RefSeq, a predicted model, not a curated record